CGCAGACGUCUGCUCCUCUACCGGCGGCCAUGCUGAUGCCUCUUCCCUAACCGGUGGCCGCACAGACUAUUUCCGUCCGGGCAGGCGCAUCCUCCCCAACCAGCGAUGGUUCUGUGUUUCGGAGUGGGCAUCGCACAGGGGUGUCGGUGUGCCCUCACCUACAACGGCAGGCGGUGGCCUUGGUCGGAGUUCUCUAGCUCUGUGUGCGGGUGCAGGUCGGAGCUCCGCGAUGCAGGUCUAGAUGCAGCUUUUUUCACCAGGCAUGGGAGGUAACUGAUGGGCUGUUGAUCAGUACAGGUAGCAAAUCGCAUCUCGGUGAGCCACGUCUGCAUCGCUAAUGUCGUUCGACAUUCUGUGUCCAUGCGACAACCACGAAGCAUUCAGGCAGACGUUUUAGUUGGGCCAAUAAUUUACCUAAUCAAACUUUUGAGAAGCUAGACAGAGUACUAGUGUGCACAGAAUUAGAAGACAAACAUACACACAUGUCAAUUCAACUACUCUCCAGGGUAA
Sorghum bicolor (sorghum) is the source of this 510-nucleotide long non-coding RNA. RefSeq lists it as uncharacterized. Lineage: Eukaryota; Viridiplantae; Streptophyta; Magnoliopsida; Poales; Poaceae. The record is from RefSeq and is a predicted model, not a curated record. The transcript has 3 exons.